UGGGGAAUAUUGGACAAUGGGCGCAAGCCUGAUCCAGCAAUGCCGCGUGUGUGAAGAAGGCCUUCGGGUUGUAAAGCACUUUUAUCAGGAGCGAAACGCUGUCGGCUAAUACCCGGCGGAACUGACGGUACCUGAGGAAUAAGCACCGGCUAACUUCGUGCCAGCAGCCGCGGUAAUACGAAGGGUGCAAGCGUUAAUCGGAAUUACUGGGCGUAAAGCGUGCGUAGGCGGUUUCUUAAGUCUGCUGUGAAAUCCCCGGGCUCAACCUGGGAAUGGCAGUGGAUACUGGGAGGCUAGAGUGUGUCAUGAGGGUGGUGGAAUUCCCGGUGUAGCGGUGAAAUGCGUAGAGAUCGGGAGGAACAUCAGUGGCGAAGGCGGCCACCUGGGACAACACUGACGCUGAGGCACGAAAGCGUGGGGAGCAAACAGGAUUAGAUACCCUGGUAGUCCACGCCCUAAACGAUGCGAACUGGAUGUUGGUCUCAACUCGGAGAUCAGUGUCGAAGCUAACGCGUUAAGUUCGCCGCCUGGGGAGUACGGUCGCAAGACUGAAACUCAAAGGAAUUGACGGGGUCAUGAGCUGUUUCCAUG
RNAcentral lists this ribosomal RNA (591 nucleotides) under uncultured bacterium. Its description in RNAcentral is "partial 16S ribosomal RNA". It matches the Rfam family "Bacterial small subunit ribosomal RNA", at positions 355 to 1378 of the family's 1533-position model. The record is from RNAcentral.